AUGGGAGAGGCUCCAAAACCCACCCAAAUCCCGACCCUCGGCCCCGAAUUUUGGCGCUUCCUCCUCCUCCUGCUCCUGCCGGUUCGGCCAGCGCGGGCCACGCCCGGAUCCGGCGCCUCAUCCCCACGUCCCCUCUGUCCCGCGGGGCUCCGGGCGGCCGUGACCCUGCUGGAGUCCGGGGGGGACCUCCAGCCCCCCGGGGGGUCCCUGCGCCUCCUCUGCCGCGCCUCGGGGUUCACUUUCGGGAGCUACAACAUGGCAUGGGUGCGCCAGAGACCCGGGCAGGGGCUGGAAUUUGUCGCAGAGAUCAGCAGCGGUGGUGGCAGCACCUACUACGCGCCAUCAGUCAAGGGCCGGGCGACGAUCUCCAGGGACAACGGGCAGAGCUCGGUGACGCUGACCAUGAACGGCCUCAAGGACGAGGAUUCCGGCUCCUAUUUCUGUGCCAAAGCUGCUGACUUCUGGGGGACGGGGCUGGGAUUCGGGGCCGAUGGUUGGGAUUGGGGCAGAACCUGGCGAGGAUUUGGGUUCCGUGGUCACCGUUGGGGCAAAUGA
Molecule: non-coding RNA, 555 nt
Organism: Vidua macroura (Pin-tailed whydah)
Lineage: Eukaryota; Metazoa; Chordata; Aves; Passeriformes; Viduidae
Source: the annotation of a RefSeq genome assembly